RNAcentral lists this unclassified non-coding RNA (336 nucleotides) under soil metagenome. Its description in RNAcentral is "partial contains 5.8S ribosomal RNA, internal transcribed spacer 2, and large subunit ribosomal RNA". The stretch from base 1 to 120 matches the Rfam family "5.8S ribosomal RNA", at positions 35 to 154 of the family's 154-position model. The record is from RNAcentral.
GAUGAAGAACGUAGCGAAAUGCGAUAAGUAAUGUGAAUUGCAGAAUUCAGUGAAUCAUCGAAUCUUUGAACGCACAUUGCGCCCGCCAGUAUUCUGGCGGGCAUGCCUGUUCGAGCGUCAUUUCAACCAUCAAGCCCCAGGCUUGUGUUGGGGACCUGCGGCUGCCGCAGGCCCUGAAAACCAGUGGCGGGCUCGCUAGUCACACCGAGCGUAGUAGCAUACACAUCGCUCAGGGCGUGCUGCGGGUUCCGGCCGUUAAACCCCUUUUUUACCCAAGGUUGACCUCGGAUCAGGUAGGGAGACCCGCUGAACUUAAGCAUAUCAAUAAGCGGAGGA